GACGAACGCUGGCGGCGUGCUUAACACAUGCAAGUCGAACGGAAAGGCCCUGCUUUUGUGGGGUGCUCGAGUGGCGAACGGGUGAGUAACACGUGAGUAACCUGCCCUUGACUUUGGGAUAACUUCAGGAAACUGGGGCUAAUACCGGAUAGGAGCUCCUGCUGCAUGGUGGGGGUUGGAAAGUUUCGGCGGUUGGGGAUGGACUCGCGGCUUAUCAGCUUGUUGGUGGGGUAGUGGCUUACCAAGGCUUUGACGGGUAGCCGGCCUGAGAGGGUGACCGGCCACAGUGGGACUGGGGUACGGCCCAGACUCCUACGGGAGGCAGCAGUGGGGAAUAUUGCACAAUGGGCGGAAGCCUGAUGCAGCAACGCCGCGUGCGAGAUGACGGCCUUCGGGUUGUAAACCGCUUUCGCCUGUGACGAAGCGUGAGUGACGGUAAUGGGGAAAGAAGCACCGGCUAACUACGU
Molecule: ribosomal RNA, 467 nt
Filed under: uncultured bacterium
Lineage: Bacteria
Description: partial 16S ribosomal RNA
Rfam family: Bacterial small subunit ribosomal RNA
Source: RNAcentral